UACGUAGGGCGCAAGCGUUGUCCGGAUUUACUGGGCGUAAAGGGCGCGUAGGCGGUCGUGACAAGUCACUUGUGAAAUCUCCGGGCUUAACUCGGAACGGUCAAGUGAUACUGUCGGACUAGAGUACAGAAGGGGCAACUGGAAUUCUCGGUGUAGCGGUGAAAUGCGUAGAUAUCGAGAGGAGCACCUGCGGCGAAGGCGGGUUGCUGGGCUGAUACUGACGCUGAGGCGCGAAAGCCAGGGGAGCGAACGGG
Molecule: ribosomal RNA, 254 nt
Filed under: uncultured bacterium
Lineage: Bacteria
Description: partial 16S ribosomal RNA
Rfam family: Bacterial small subunit ribosomal RNA
Source: RNAcentral